CUAGAUGAUUGGAUAGCUGCCUUUUAAGGAGGAAAGUCCGGACUCCAAAGAGUNACAAUGCCGGGUAAUUACCGGCAAGGGAAACCUUAGGGAAAGUGCCACAGAAAAUAUACCGCCAUUUUAUUUGGUAAGGUUGAAAAGGUGAGGUAAGAGCUCACCGCAUUAAUGGUAACAUUAAUGGCAUGGUAAACCCCAUUGGGAGCAAGUCUAAAAAAGCAUAGUCAUUGAUUGACAGACGAACUCUUCGUUUUGCUAGGUAAGACGCAAAAAUUAAUUGGUAACAAUUAAUUAAGAUGAAUAGCUAUCACCUAAUUUUGGCACAGAAUCCGGCUUAUAGAUCAUCUAGUUUU
This 350-nucleotide RNase P RNA is filed under the name Rickettsiales bacterium TMED211. RNAcentral describes it as "RNase P RNA component class A". It matches the Rfam family "Bacterial RNase P class A". Rfam says of the family: Ribonuclease P (RNase P) is a ubiquitous endoribonuclease, found in archaea, bacteria and eukarya as well as chloroplasts and mitochondria. Its best characterised activity is the generation of mature 5'-ends of tRNAs by cleaving the 5'-leader elements of precursor-tRNAs. Cellular RNase Ps are ribonucleoproteins. RNAcentral also lists the same sequence under 1 other name. The record is from RNAcentral. Lineage: Bacteria; Pseudomonadati; Pseudomonadota; Alphaproteobacteria; Rickettsiales.